Long non-coding RNA from Gallus gallus (chicken), 13754 nucleotides. The record is from Ensembl. Lineage: Eukaryota; Metazoa; Chordata; Aves; Galliformes; Phasianidae.
GCUAGCAUGAACUUUACAUACUGCAUGCCUUACUGAUUGAUUAAAAAUGUAGUCAUCCUUAAAGACAAAUCACCUAAGGACUUACAAUUCCAUGAGCUACACUUUGGUCCUAUCAAGACAGGCAGGCAGCUGCAUGAGAGGUGGAAAGAGAGAAAAUGAUUGAGAUGAAAUCACCACCAACAACUAUUGCAGGCAGCAAAGCAGCAUUGGAUUCCAGCCACCAUACUUCUGCAACCAGGUGUGAAUGAGCCUGAUGGGAUGUUAUUAUGGAUCCUACACUGAAAAAGGGAGAGGGAUUAAAAUCUGUGUUCACAGGCUGAGAGCAGGUGUCUGCGAUGAGAUCCCAUGCUGUGACAUGCAUGCAGCACACUCUUACAUGAAAAGCCCUGGCUGAUGAAAUGACCACAGGAAGACAACACAGAACCCUCCUGGCAGGAUCAGAAGAAGCUUAAUUAAGCUCUGUGGUUAAUGUUAAAGUCCUUUUGUCAGAAGCAUAACAAGGAACUUCAGUCUGGCUUUCAAAAGUGCUGAACACCCAAAACUCCUACUGAGGUCUCUGUGAAUCACAGCACAGAACAAGUGACUCUUCCCUUCACUCUGCAAGUGCUACAGAUUCAUGUGCUUCUACUAAAAUCUCCACGUGCCCGGCACUACAGAAGAGGAAGUGUGGCUCUCUGAACUGAGAUUUUUGGAUGAAGCUCCAAAAAAUGCUUCUGCUUCCAGCACUCCCCACCCCAUCCCACAGGCUGUCUCCUGGCCUUAUGCUCCUGUGUAUUGAGGGAAGGCAGCUCUUCUGCCCUGCAGGUGGAGAAAUCCCUUGGCCAGGCCUUGGUGGAUCCUUCAGGCCCAGCCUCUGUCCCACGGCUGCUCCCCAGCGCAGCACUCAUUUCUGCUGCAGUAUUCUCCUGGAGAAGCUGGCAGUCCAUGGCUUUGACAGGUACAUUCUUUACUUUCUGGGCAAAAAACUGGCUGAAGGACAAGCCCAGAGCGUGGUGGUAAGUGGGGUUAAAUCUAGCUGGCAACCGGUCAUGAGUGGUGUUGCCCAGGGGUUGGUACUGGGGCCUGUCCUAUUUACUAUUUUCAUUAAUCACCUGGACAAGGGGCACCUUCAGUAAGUUUACAGAUGACAUCAAGUUGGGAGAAAGCCUUAAUCUUCCUGAGGGUAAAAAGGCCCUUCAGAGGGAUCUGGACAGGAUGGAUCACUCGGUUGAGGCCAAUGGGAUGAAGUUCAAGAAGACCAAGUGACAAGUCCUGCACUUUGGUCACAACAACCCUAGGCAGUGCUACAGGUUUCGGGCAGAGUGUCUGGAAGACUGUGGAGGAAAUGGACCUGGGGGUAUUGGUCAGCAUUUGUCUGAACAUGAGCAAGCAGUGUGCCAAGGUAGCCAAGAAGGCCAUUGGCAUCCUGGCUUCUAUCAGAAAUAAUGACAUCCUGACUUGUAUCAGAAAGAUUGUUACCAGCAGGACUAGGGAUGUAGUCAUGUAUCCAGUUACACAGUGGACUAGUUGCUGUGCUGAGAAGCACUAACAGACUACUCAUGUGCAGCCUUGUCCCUUUAAACAAGCAACCAGAGCAUGUCACCUGGACUUUGACACUCAUGAUUCAAAGAAGGAUAGAGACAGCCCUAUUUGGAAUAUCUAUAGGAGUGCCUGAAGUAACCCCAAUUCCCUGCUGAAGUACCUAAGUUUUCUCCUUUAUAUCUAUGCUUUCCUGGUCUCUGCAGAGACUUCCAAGGAAAAUCCUUAAUGAGGACUUGUCCUUCUUUCUUAUGGCAUGGACCCAUGGCCAAGGAAAACUACGCCAAGAUUUCCAAGCUUGUAGACGCCACCACUGCAACAUCUGAUUGGAACAACUGCUACCAUCCGGAGCUGAGCACAUCUGAACUGGUGAACCGUCUGACUGAUCCCCACUCACGUAAGCCAGACAGCUUGCUUAUUACUAACAGCUUUAGCUGGAACGGUUACUUAAUUAAAAAUGCCUUGACCAGUCCCAUCACUGCAGGAAGCCAAGACCAAAAAGACUAAGAAAAGUCACUGUGAAUCCAAAUGAAAACCUGCCAUGACUUUUCCUUUGCUCUUCAGUUUCCGAUGCAGAUUCACUUCCUGAUGAGUCAUGAUGUGCACAGCACAUCUGUAUGAAAUAAGUUGUUUCUUCUGACCAUCCCCUGCUACAUCUCCUCCCUCACCCCUACAUCUCAUUCUUGUUUCUAGACCUUACUCACCAAAACUUUCUUAGAAAGAAAGAAGUAAACAACUUUUAAUGCCCACCAGUGCUGUUAUGACAGUAUGAACACUUGAUGUGGAUUUAACCUACAGCUUCAGCUCAGGACUGUGAGCCUGAGCUCUGACUGGUGACAUGAGCAAUCUCUCUGCCACUACAGGAAAAAAAAGAAAAAAAGUGGAGGUUAAACUUUUGAAGAGUACCAAGAAAUGUCUCAAGUUACAUCCCCGGCCUGGAAUUUUAUCCCGUGGUACAUAAAAAAGGGAUGGUUACAUGGAGAAAGCUGGGUGAGCUGACAUAAGAGGUGCUACCAGAGCUUUGUUUGUUGUGUAAAGCAUGAGGGCCUAUUUCUGGCCAAGGAAGUAAACAGAGUUUGGCUGCAAGCUUAUUCUGCUACAGUGCUAAAAUAUUUCCCUCCUGGACACUUUCGUCUCUUUAUUUUUGAUUAAGUGCUGUGCCUCUGCCACCUUGCUGCUGCCUGCUGCUCCUUUCUCCGACAGUUCUCUUUUAUUCCAGCUUCUCUUUUCACUUUUGUCUUUGCUCAUUUGUUUUUCUCUUGGACAUUCUGUACAACGUGCUGUCAUGUACCAUCAUGUUUUAUCCUCUCUCAGCUCUACGUAGACUCCAGCCAGUCCGUGUAAGCUUCCCUGGCAAUUGUCCUGGAGCAGUGUUUCCAUACUAGCACUUCCUUUGUUCUUUGUCCCUGCCCAACUAUGGGAAUUUGUUUGCAUUUGCACAAAGCAUAGACAUUCUGUUUUAAAGAUUUUAUCCCACAGCUAUGUCAAGUUCCUAACACUGUUUGCAUCAUCUAAAAGGUUGCAUUUUUCAAAAACAAAAUAAGAGCCUGCUAGCUGCUUACACUGAGUGAUAAAACAGCAAGUACAAGAACUCUAAAAAAAAAAAAAUAAUAUAUGUGGGUUUGUUCAUGACCCUGACGAGACAUUCGUCUAUGUCGUAAUCAAAGAAUGGCCUGGGUUGGAAGGAACUUCAAAGAUCAUCUAGUAAUCCUUGUCUUCAGUCUACCACUGAUCUAAGCAUGAAAAAAUUGGCAGAUUUGUGUUAUCUAACAGCACCCUUUUCAGAGACAGAUAUAAGGAAGCACAUAGUAUUGGGGCAGCAUACUGUAUAGCAGGAGAAAAUUGACACUCUCAUGUGGGAUUCUGCCCUGGUAAUCUAGCUUAACACAGGCAAUACUGUAGCUUCUCCCAGUUGGUUCACACUUUCAACCUUUCUGAAUUUACUCAGGUGGAGAAAUUCUAAUGCUCACGCAAAAAUCCUACUCAUUGCAAAGAAAGGUUUACUCAUUGUCUAGGGCAGGGCUGAACAUCAAGAUGCCUAUGGACACUCUGCCAAGGCUCUGCUUCUUAUGUCACCUCAGAUUCAUUAGUUCAUCCAAGGCUCAGAGGAAGCAUCUAAUUCACUUUUUGUGAUAUCGUAUUGCCCACACCCAAACUCUGACUCUUGGCUGUGUUUUUUCUCAUAAAGCAGCAGCCAGCACCUUCCCCUGCAGCCUCCAACAUCUCUAUUAGACAGGCUAUUCUGCAGACCAUACCACAGAUAUAGAUAUCCAUCCUGUGCAGUGGAUAACUCUGCUUUAGAGGGCACACCAGCUGCAGUUUCUACUGCCACACCUUACUUCCUUUUGUUCAUAACUUUACCAAAAUUUAACUGUUUGGACUUAAUUGUUGAACAGAAGGUUUUUCUUUUCCUCUCACCAUCCAAACCUAAGCAUAUGGGAAAAUUUCAACUACAAUAUUUCACUAUUUCUAGAAAUUGAGACCAGAAUCAAGGAAAAUUAUUUGUUUAGGAAAAAGAAAGACAUCCUAGAACCUGCAUUAAGGUUCUUUAACAUUCUGCUACCUGGAACUAGACAUCUGCUUUCAGAAUGCUACUGUGUGGCUUGUUUGUCAUUUUUUUGUGGACAUUUUCCCAUAUGUGACAAAUUACAUACUUUUAAAAUAAAAAUCUCUGUGUGUUUGUUCAUGUCUGGAGAAGAUUUGUUGAAGUUGAGGAACUGAAGUAUCUGAGGAGUCCAAUUUUCAGACCCUUCCAGUGAGGACACUUCAUCUUCUUAUGCUUGAGGACCAAAUUAUAUGAUCUUGCUAUCAAGUGACUUGACAUGUUUUAGCCAGCAGUACAACACAGUCCUUCCUUGCUGAAGUAUUACUGUCAAUGGAACAUAAUGCCAGGAAAUUCUCUCUUUUAAUUCCCAGUUCUCCAUCUGCUCAUGCCCAGAAGAAAGAGCGAAUGGGAUGAGUUAGAAUUUUAAAUAAAAUAAUUCAAAUGAAAGCAAUAUUUGCUCACAUAAGCAUCAAGUACUGUGAUUUUCUAAUGCUGGUGGUGAUGGGAAAAGUUGUCAAGAAAGUUGUCUUUAAGCUUCCUUCCAACCUAAACCAUUCUAGGGUUCUGUGAGAUGUGGCCCAUUUGUUCUCUGCACUCCUCACUGAAUAUCUAAUAAUAAAAAUUAAUGUGAAUCCUCUGUGCUUCUGAAGAGCAAACUAUCACUAAAAGCAAUGUGCCAAAUACUCUUCUUCCAUGCGGCUCCACUGAUGGGCCAGGGAUGCAAAGACAGGGUUUGACAGUAAGAGAUUGCCACAAUGUGUGUGGGAUCCAGAGCAUUAAAAGGCAAGGUUACGAUUUCUCAACAUGAAAAGUCUGAAGGAGGAUUCCUGUUCAGAGUGAUUUCAUCUUAGAUGGGAAACAAAUGGAAGAGAAGACUGUGCACAUCUCUGUAAAGCGCUGUAGCAGUUUGGCAUGAUAGAGUGGCAUCUGGGGACUUGGAGAUAUACUCUUUGGAAAUGUAAAGGUAUAGACAAAAUGAAGUCAUAUUAGGCACAGAACCAUCUAUCUCUCAGCAGCGGAGCUGUCUCUCCCUAAUGUAUGUCACAUCUACUCAAAAGUGGGAGAAAACACUCUUCAGAUUCCCUAGUAUUUAUGGAACACACUGAAAGAAAUUGUACCUCAGAACACCAGACUUGCCCCAUAAAAUAAGGAAUGACACUGAUAUAAAGCUGAUUUUCUUGACUGCCGUUCUCAGCAUUCUGGAGAGCCUGAUCCCCAGUAAGGCAAUUUGGCAGAUAGCUAGCUGCUGUAAUGGGGGCAAAGACAUGCAUUUGUUGGAAGGAGAGGCAAAAAGGAAAUGUUAUAGCUUUACCCUCUAAAAUCCAACCCUGUACUUUAAGAACAAAGAUACUUUAAUCACCUUGGCAGCCAGUAUAGCCAGUUCUGAUAUAGGAAAGGUCAAAGAUAUCAUCCUUCUAUUAUCUAGAUUCUAAUUAGGUUGUGAGUAAAUAGGGAACACUGAAGUUGUUUACACAGUGAUUGUCAUGUGCCCUACUGACUUGAAAACACCGAAGACUCCAGCAGCUUUCAAAGCUGCCCAUUGCACAUGUACAUGGUUCUACAAAGUGCAGAAGAGGAGGCUCAGGGGAGAACUCAUCUCACUAAAACUACCUGAAAGGAGGUUGUAGUGAAGUGGACACUGGGCUCUUUUCCCAAGUAACUAAUGAUAGGACAAGAGGUAAUGGCCUCAAGUUGUGCCAGGGUGGUUCAGGUUGGAUGUUUGGAAAGAUUUCUUCUCAGAAGCAUGGUGAGAUAUUGGAACAGACUUCCCAGGGAGGUGGUAGAGUCACCAUCCCGGGAGGAUUUCAAGAAAAGGGUAGAUGUCACACUGAGUGACGUGAUCUAGAAGGGUCACAGGCAUGGGCUGAUGGUUGUACUAGAUGACCUUAGUGAUCUUUCCAACCUUAAUGGUUCUAUGACUCUAUGAAAUGUGGUGAAUUUGAUCUUAGCCUGAAAGAUUUUUUUUAAGUACAUGCACGCUCAUUCCAAAAAAAAAAAAAAAAAAAAAAAAAAGAGAGAACUGUAGAUCUCCAAAGAAUAACUGAGAAGUCAGUAUAGUUCCCCAGAGUGCUAAGACCUACCUAUCUGCUCUCCAUGCAAACUUCAUACAGACCAUGGUGUCUUAGUUUAGCUGAAGAUUAUCUGAGCAAUAAAAUGGCAUAAGGGAUGAAUUCAUCCAGUUUUUGGAAAAAGUUCUGCUCAUUUCCAUGAAAAGCCCUGCAGUGGUUGAGCUCCUUUUGACUUACGAUGAGAGAUGAUUUUGACCUGCUCUCUAUCAUCUGUUAGGCUGCAGCUGUGCCCUCUAGCACUGUAUAUGUAUUCCAAGCUCAUCUAGAUGUGGAAACAAAAGCACAAAUGAGAUGACAAUCUUCCAUUCUUUCUGUGUGCUGCCAAUACCUGUUUGUCCCUAUAAUGACAUUAAUCAUCUUUUAUUUAUAGUGGAAUAUUGGAAGCUUCAAUUUUUCCCUUUUGAUUUAUUUGUAGGACAACAGGUGCACAACUUAAGCAGGUGUAUGGAUGUGCACAUAUGCUGUGAGUUUGCCAAUAGCCAAAAUACAUCUUUAGUAAAUGAUUACUUGUACCAAAGCUGCCAUUAUUUUUGUUUCAUGCCUAAACUUAAUUCCACAACUGUUAGCUCUUACAGUCUAUUAUGUGCUUUGUGUUGCAACUGCAGUAAUGCAACUCAGAAAUGCAAAACCUCUCACCCUUCAAAACCCUUUGCAAACAAGAUGUCCCUAAACCAUACACUGCUCCCAGUUUCUGAUACUUGGAAAAGGUACCGAAAAUGUAUCAACAGUUUCCAUUGGCAACUGCUGCAGAAUAGCAUGAUGAUACCGGUCCAACAGCUGACACAAAAUGCCUUUCCAUAUGUAAAGCUGUGCCUUAAACACACAAGGGACACUAAGAAUAAACGUAUUUUCUAUUUCUUUUGUCUAACAGCAAAUGGGUUGUGAAGAAGUGCUGGAUGCCUUAAAAAAUGCAGUUAUAAUUUUGGAUCCAAGCUGUGAGAACACUCAUUGGAGACAACUGUUCUCUCAUGGGCUAGCCUUGAAUAAACAAUCACAGCUCUGUGUGAUAUUACUUCUUAACCAGAUUCUAGCAUUGAGCUGUUGCCUUGCCAUGGUUACUUGCCUUUUAAACCAAUGUUUCUUUUCCUUCCUUUUUGCCAAGAUUCUUGCUUGCUUGGCAGUCGCUCGUUCUCCUUUGAACUUUUGCCCUAUUUUAAUCUCCACCAAAUUUUUAGUCUAAAAGAACCUUUUCAACGAUAUCUUUUGUUGUCCUGAAUUUCUUUUCUCGCUGUGAGAACUUACUUGGGGACAUGGCUUACGGGAAAGUGCCCAAGUGACUGUCUUCUCCUGAGUAUCCAGCAGCUGGCAUGCAUCCGUGAGGAGAUUAUGAAACAAAGCCACGACAGCACAAGACAGUGGCCACUCCUGAAAUAAGAUUAAAUAGUAAAGAAGGACACACGUACACACACAUGCAAACUACCAGGUCAUUCACUGGGAGAUUUACUUGUGCUUGUUAGCUCCUGAGCUUGCCUCAACUGAAUUCAUCUGAGGAUAACACCGUUAAAACCCAUGUCAGAGCAUCACUCUGCCACACAGGGGUCCAGAGCAGAAUCCCUCACUUGUGCUGUGCCCCGGGAGCUGGCAGAGCACCGCAUCCCAUGGAUCAUGUGGGAGUCCUGGAAAAAGGAAGCAUGUCUCUGGCUGCCUCGGGGUAACUCUCCAGGCAACCUGGAAGAAUCAAACUCACAGCUUCUGUGAAGAAGUUAAAAUUCAUCUUAUAUCAGGCAAACGCAUCACCUUGACAUAUUUUGACUUUUUUUUUUUUUUUUUUUUUAACGUGUUUUGUCCUAUUUGGAGAUUCAGGGGGAGAAAUGCAUGCUCUCUCCAAAAUAUUUUUUAGUCACUAAUAUUGUUCCCACUUCUAAAAAGAAAAAGAAGUUAACACAAUUCAGUUUCAGAUUCAUCAAAAGACAUCACUGUGUGAUUUUCUAAAGUAAAGGCAAGUACAUGUGUACAGUAUUCCUGUGCAUAACAUACAUGUGUGUACAUAUAGGUGUACAAAAACAGUGACAGUAUUUCAUACGCAUAUUUAUUACUGGGAAAACCGAUUUUCUUACCAGAAGCAUAACUGCCAAAUUUCUGGCAUUAGUGAAAGCCCAGCUAUUACUAUUUAGAAAUCUCUGUCUCAGGCUGAAUCAUUUUUUGGCUGAGUUUUUAAUGUAAAGUAAAACCUAGCACAAGCCUCAAGGACAACAGACCCCUGUGGUGUGCUGUAUGUAAAAUGAACCACAUUAAUGUCAUUCUGGUAUGUGCAUCAUAUAUUCUGAUAGAGAAACCAGGGCCAAUAGUUUAGUCAUAUUUAUUCACAGACUAAUAAGAAUCUGUGUUAAUUGACUAAGAUAUGCCUGAGAGCAUCUUUUCACCAUCUGAAUAGUUGGGCUGAAUGUAGGAAGACCAGCAAGAUACCUAUUUCCUUUAAAACAUAACCUUACCAACAUUUUAUGUUAGAAGAUUUUAAACUAAAUCAAACAAUUCAAAGUCUAUCCUUGCUCACUCUUAUUUAUUAACUUUUAGAGAGCAAUUUUCUUCACAGUAGCAAAAUCAAUACUCUGAGAUAAAACUUCUAACAAGAGUUUCCUUUCUCAUAAAAUUUUAUUGGCAAUUUAAUUCUUCAUCUGUAUUGAAAUGGUAAAAUGUAAAGAGCAAUGUUCUUUUUUGCUAGUAAAACAUCCUUAUUUACUUUGGAACACAUGCAGAAGGCACAUUUUCAGCUGAGUUCAAUCAUUUUCUGUUUCCUUGAUAUCUUCAUAUGCAGACAAUCCUGACUGACAGAAAAAUCACUAGCUAAUUGACUACAGCAUGCUUUAUAUGCAAGCUUUAUAUGCAAGUAUUGGUAGCAACCUACUCUUUAGACUCCCUGUGGGCUGGAGGUGGGCAACCUGCGGCAGAAGUGCCCAGCCAUGUGCUGCUUUGCUCUUCACAGAAACAAGAUGUUACCUUGGAGUAAUUUGCCCCUUAGCACCCAAUAUGCAAACUUCCAAUUGACUCCAGCUGGAUUUCUGCACCUUGCUGUAGUUCACGUACAGCAGCAAAUCCUUGUACUACCUUGGGCAUGGAAAAGAGGUAAACAGGCACACCAUGCCUCUCAGUCCAGGAUGGGAACAUAAGUAUUUAAGAGACAGACACGCAUCCUUUCCCAUGAGAAAGGAGGAGACAGAGAAGGAAGGCUACUCCACACCGUGCACAGGGUGUGUCCACACAGUGGUAAUGUGUUGCCAUUCUCAGCUUUUCCAUCCAGCAUUUUCAAAAUUAGACUGGUAGUAAGUAAGGCUUGAGGGGCCGGCUGAGCUCAGCUUUUGGGAAGGAGGCUCCACUGCGUACAAUGCUGACUUGAGUCCCAGUGUCACUUUCCCACACGGAGUAGCCCCUUGAUCUGUGAGUAGUGCCUAUGACUUCUGCCGGGACCACUCGCAAGGACAAUGCGGCUCAGCAGGCUCUUUGUAAAUGUGUGGCCGCAAUACAUUCAUCAGCAACAAUGACUCCUGUAAUCAUUUACAAUGCCUUUGGGCCUCUGUGUGUAAAAAAAGCAUCGCUACGCCAAACCAAUGGGAGAAAAGCUUGUGUGGUGGUGGCUUUAAAAUCGGAAUUGUGAAGCGUUAUUUGUAUCGAGAGACGAAAUAGCAAGAAGUGGAAAGGGUGAGAAAACAUGAAAAGAAAUGCGCUUAGGGAAACAGAAGCUGGAAGUAAUCAAUAAAUCAUAGAAGAAAGUAAAGAGAAAGAACCUUUAAAGUGCCCAAGCUUAAAUGUCAAGAGUAUUAGAACAAAAGAGCUCAAAGCAGAAGAUUGUGUGACAGAGGAAUAUGCUGAAACUCUGUCAGAAAGCAGGCUCACUCCUGAGCGUGGAAAACAGUACAGACAAUGAAGGGCAGCAGAGAAGAACAGAAUAAGAAAUGAGGACACCGUGUACGUUCCUCUUCCUUAAAUAGCUUGAACACACAGGAUUGGUAUUAUUGUUAUUAGAAGACUCUGAGGAGUAAAACUGGAAGAACACCAUCACAGUUGUUGAAAAGAUCAGCUUUAAGCUAUGUAAUAUGCUAAGAAUGUGCUAUCAUAUAUGCAUGAAGGUAUGCCAUCAAUAUUGCAGAGUAAAAAGAUCUUGCUUACAUUGUCCUCCGCCAAAAAGAAACAGAGCCAACCAAGGCAGAGCUGUUGUUACAUUUAUCCCUAGACAAAUUCCUACAGUUACAUUUUUUUUUCCUAAUGACACUCUUUCAGUGAUGCACUUAAUCACACAUAGCUCUAGGCACAAGUGCUUGUCCCACUGAAAUCCACGUAUAUAAACAUACACUUAAAGUUAAGCUGGUACUCAAAAUGUUUUGCUGAGCUGAAGCCCGUGUGCUGAUGGAUUGCCUAGUUAGCCAUAAGCUGCAUGGUUACAUCUGUUUUUGACUUCUGGCUCAGAAACAGAUACCUGCUCUGUUUGAAUCAAAUUUAUCAUGGCCGCUACUCAUAUAAAAAUGCUUUUGGCACCACACAUGUCUGUGUUGUGAAACCAAAAUUUUAUGUUAAAAAUGGAUUUGUGGUCAACUGAGCAAAGGCGGCUUACAUUCUCCUCGGCAGAAACCUGUACGGGAAGAAAUUAAACGUGCCUUGAUGUACUUUGAAAAAGAGAAUUUGAGAAGCUCUCACAAAGGCUGCUGGAAAACAUCUGUCACAGCAAAAGGCAGACAAACCCCGGGCACUAUGCGUUGGGUGAUGGACUUUGCCAAGCAUGACAGGCAUGAGGGCUGCUGCAGCUAUUGAGACACACUGGCAGGCAGUAGACCUGAGCCGCAGCUCUUUCUUAAGAGCCCUGGUGGCACUGCCCACUGCACAGGUCUCAUUUCUGGGUCAAGUCUGAACAGAUAAUCUUUGCAGUUUGCUUGAGGUCAUGAUACGACUGUCGUAAAAACCAUUAUAAAGGCAUGCCCCUGGGGUAUUUGUUCUUGUGGGAAUAAAGCACUUAAAAUCCACACGGACCACUCAGUCAGUGGCAGGAAAGAGAACACAUACUGAAUUGUUUGUAAAAUAUUAUUAGCUUGAAUCAGGUGGUGAUAGCAAUAUGGAAACACAGCAGCUCAGUCCACUCUGAAGUCAUUAUUAACAUUAUCCUGCUAUUUGAGUAUGUACACACAAAUGACAGUACCGAUAUGCCAUUCCAGAGUAACAUCAGCAGGUAAAUUGACUGUUAAUGCUUGUGUUAAUGUUACUGAGCAUGUCCACAAUAACAAAGACAUUUCCAAAAACCUGAGUGAACUGAUGACAGGAGAGUGAUGAAUCAUGCAAAAAAAAUAAAUAUUACCACAAGUGCUCAUUUGACAGCAAAGAAUUUUGUGGUACCGCUCUGUGAGACAUUUAAAAUUUCAGUCAUAAUUUUAGGAGAUCUCUCUCAUUCAAAUUGUCAAAGCCUAGCAAGCUUGUUAACAACAUCAAGGGGUGACUGGUUCUUCAUCUUCUUGCUCUUGUUCUACUGAAUGAUCGAGGAACAAACUAAAACUGACAGCUAUUGCAAGGAUAACAAGAAUUAGGAGAUACAAAAUAUGUUUCUACCCCUCCUUGUCAAAUUCAGCCUAAGGUAGUUGAUAUUCAGUUCCGGAAAAUGUUGCAAAACUAAAAGGAGCUGUAGCUUAGAUCCUGGAUGUUCUGUCCCCGCCAAGCAGGGCCACUGGAGUGGCAUGAAGCAGGACAGCUAAUGGAACUGGGGUCCAUCAGCUCCCUUCUUUCAGGUUGCUAAUUCUACCAUAUACAAACGAGCUAGGAAUCCACUGAAAGAAUUAACAUGAAAGUUCUAAAGUCUCCCCAUGAUUUUCACAGUAUCUUGACAAAUUUGAUUGUAGGAACAGCAAAGCAAGUCCUUAAGCUAUGGUCUUUUUAUUAAAUAUUUGAUCUCCAUUAAAACAUCAAGACUUCUUGGUGGUGUUAGCUUUCAUUGUGAGUGAAUGCUUUCAAUCCAUGUCUUAGUUACCCUGGAUUCUUAGUUGAGAAAAUAAUAAAUAAAUAAAUAGAUGUUGAUGUACAUGAAGUACUGUGCUUAUUCACUGCAUACCAAUGUUCGAGAGUGUAAUGACAGGACAAGGAGCAGUGACUUUGAACUGACAGUGACUAGAUUUGGAUUAGGUAUUAGAAAAAACUUCUUUACUCAGAUAAUGGUGAGACAAUGGCAGAGGCUGCCCAGAGAAGCUGUGGAUGCUCCAUCCCUGAUGGUGCUCAAGAGCACAUUGGUUGGGGCCCUGGGCAACCUGACCUAGUGUGCGGUGUUCCUGCCAUGGUAGGGGGAUUGAAACUGGAUGAUCUUUAUGCUCCUUUCCAACUAAAACCAUUCUGUGAUUCUAUGAAAGCCAAUUUUGAUGAGAUUCACUUGAAACCUCACUCUAAAAAUAUUAUAUAAGUAGGUAGCCACUAAGAAUGACUAAGGUUUAGAAGAUAAGAUUAACGUUAUAAGAAAUCAGGCAAAUUACAUGCAGACAUGAUCCAACCACAGGAUAUGGGAUGCAUUGGUUGGGAGAACCCCACUUAGUUUGCUCAAGGAUAUUUUUUUUAUCAGGAAGCUAAAUAUAAUAUAGAGGGUGUGGCCUCAAGUUUAGCCAAGGGAGAUUCAGGUUGGACAAUAGGAAAAACUUCUUCAAAAGAGUGGUCAGGCAGUGGAAAGGGCUGCCCAGGGAGGUGGUGGAGUCACUGUCACUGGAGGUGUUCAGUACAUGUCUAGAUGUUGUACUGAGGGACAUGGUUUAGUGGGAAAUAUUGAGAGUAGGUGGACAGUAGGACUGGAAAAUCCUGGAGGUCUUUUCCAACCUUAGUGAUACAAUGAUUCUGUGAUUAUAUAAAUUAUUUCAUAGGUGUUAUUCAGCUCUCUCCAAUCAAGUCAGCAAGAUUUUAACUGAAGUUGUCUCAUGCUUGGCCAACCUGUUAGAUUGCAGUGAUGAGUUGACAGGCUUGGUGUAUGAGGAGAGUACAGUGGAUGUGAUUUAUCUCAGCUUUGGCAAGACUUUCACCACAUUCUCCCAUAUUGUCACCUACAUAACACUCCAGAAAUUAAUGAGUUGCAGACUAAAUGAAUGGACAGUGAGAUGGACUGUAAACUGUCUGAAUUGCUGGGCUUAACAGGCUGUGAUCAUGAAGUCCAGCUGGAGGCCAGUCAUAGCUAUGUACCUCAGGGGAAGAUACUGGGGCCAGUAGAUUUUAACACCUUCAUUAAUGACCUGGGCAACUCAACAGAGUGAAUCCUCUGCAAAUUUGCAGAUACAAUAAAACUGAGAAAAGAGUUUGCUAGACUAGAUGCUUGUGCAUCCAUUCAAAAGGACCUUGACACACUGAAGAACUAGGCUAACAGGAAACUCAUGAAGUUAAAUAAAGGGAAAUGCCAUGUCCUCCUCAUGAGGAGGAACAACCUCUUGCACCAGGAAAGGUUGAGGCCAGCUGGUUGGAAAGCAAUGCUGUAGAAAAUGCUGUGAUAUUCCUGGAGAGCAGCAAGUUAACCAUGGGCCAGCAAUGUACCCUUGAAGUACAUUGGGCUGCACUAUGCUGAGCAUUACCUGCAGGUCAUAUAAGGUGAUCUUUUCUCUCUGUUCAAACAAACCUGGAGCACUGAGUCCAGCCAUGGUCUUCCCAGUACAAGAGACCUGGGUAUACUGCAGCAGGUCCAG